UUUUUUUUUUUUACCGUGCCUAGUUAUUACACAGGGAGGUUUUGUGCUGGGAAGAAUGUAGCCGUAGGGUGGACUCAGAAGCACCAUCCAAAGCGCUGUGCCUAGGGAAGAUGGAUGAGAUUGGGGAGUUGUUUAGUGGGCGGGUCUCUCUCCCAACUACAGUGUCCAGGGUAUUGUGAACACACUGCAUAUCCUCAUCUAAACAGUGAUCCUAAAUCUGGAGGUGAUGAAUGAGUGAACUCUGCUCUUCGGUGUCCAGGAGAGCCCUAUUCCUUGUGCUCUUUGGGGAGAUGCAUGAAAAAGGUGACCGGACAAGGUGUUAAGCUGAAUGUUGAAGACAGAAUGGGAUGAAGAAGUGGGACCUACGCUGUCUGCUCAGUACGUGGCCCAACAGAACAAUCCCUUGUUUACCGCUCCGGCAACUCUUCUUGUUUGACCCCACUUUCUGGAAACUUAACUUUCACAUUAGGUUUUAGCUUUUACAACUCUCACUCUCUUUCAACCUUGCCUCCCCGAUAGGCUUUUGUGUCCUGUUUCACUCAUAGCUGCUUUUAAACUGAACUAAUUCAAUCUGUUAAAAAAAAAAAA
RNAcentral lists this long non-coding RNA (588 nucleotides) under Rattus norvegicus (Norway rat). Its description in RNAcentral is "long non-coding RNA NONRATT006587". Lineage: Eukaryota; Metazoa; Chordata; Mammalia; Rodentia; Muridae. The record is from RNAcentral.